UGGAGGCGUUAUGGUUGGAACCUACGUCACUGCCUAUAAAUUUGGCCAACUACUGAAUAUGGAGUCAGCAUAAUUUUGGGGAAAAUUAUUGGUAAUGAUGUAUGUAGAAAAUUCUUUAACACUGUCAUUUAUAAGUUGUGCUAUAAAGUCUGAGGGAAAUGAUCAGGACUGCAUUUUUUAAAGUUAGACAUUCGAGCAGAGGUCUCUUGAAAUAAUCCAGCUUUGGCACAUGAGUAUUUGAGCCACCUCUUCUGGGAGAUAAAUUGUGUCAGGGUUCUUUGUAGAAGCAAAGCCCAUUAGAAGGGUCUCUGGGCUUUGGAAGAGAGAAGGAGGCAGAGAUGUG
Molecule: long non-coding RNA, 343 nt
Filed under: Homo sapiens (human)
Lineage: Eukaryota; Metazoa; Chordata; Mammalia; Primates; Hominidae
Description: HSALNT0064825
Source: RNAcentral